RNAcentral lists this ribosomal RNA (253 nucleotides) under uncultured bacterium. RNAcentral's name for it is "partial 16S ribosomal RNA". It matches the Rfam family "Bacterial small subunit ribosomal RNA", at positions 524 to 776 of the family's 1533-position model. The record is from RNAcentral.
UACGUAGGUGGCGAGCGUUGUCCGGAUUUACUGGGCGUAAAGAGCGCGCAGGCGGUCGUUCAAGUCGCGUGUGAAAUCCCCCGGCUCAACUGGGGAGGGUCACGCGAUACUGAUCGACUCGAAGGCAGGAGAGGGAAGUGGAAUUCCCGGUGUAGUGGUGAAAUGCGUAGAUAUCGGGAGGAACACCAGUGGCGAAGGCGACUUCCUGGCCUGUUCUUGACGCUGAGGCGCGAAAGCUAGGGGAGCAAACGGG